RNAcentral lists this ribosomal RNA (257 nucleotides) under uncultured bacterium. Its description in RNAcentral is "partial 16S ribosomal RNA". It matches the Rfam family "Bacterial small subunit ribosomal RNA", at positions 99 to 353 of the family's 1533-position model. The record is from RNAcentral.
CGGACGGGUGAGUAACGCGUGGGUAACCUGCCCUGUACAGGGGGAUAACAGUCAGAAAUGACUGCUAAUACCGCAUAAGACCACAGCACCGCAUGGUGCAGGGGUAAAAACUACCGGUGGUACAGGAUGGACCCGCGUCUGAUUAGCUGGUUGGUGAGGUAACGGCUCACCAAGGCGACGAUCAGUAGCCGGCUUGAGAGAGUGAACGGCCACAUUGAGACUGAGACACGGCCCAAACUCCUACGGGAGGCAGCAUG